UCCCUCUGUCCCAAAAUAAGUGAAUCAAUUUUUGGGACGGCCGGAGUAGGGUAUUCACUUGACUAUUUAAAGGUGUUUUUCACGGUAGGAACAUGUCAAAUCGUUUAGAACUGAAACCAAUUGCAUCUUCUUACUUUAAAAGCUGGAUCAAGGUAUUAUAUGCUAUUCCAAAUUUACAGGGCAGCCUCCUGAUAUGCACACUAUCUGCAAGUAUGGAUGGUAUAAGAAUCGAUUCAGAAAGUAAUGCAUCCAGAAGAAAAAUGGAAUAAGUCUUGCUGAGCAACCACAAACA
Molecule: non-coding RNA, 292 nt
Organism: Lolium perenne
Lineage: Eukaryota; Viridiplantae; Streptophyta; Magnoliopsida; Poales; Poaceae
Source: RefSeq, a predicted model, not a curated record